GUGCUCCCUUUGGCAGCACAUAUAUAAAAUUGGAACAAUGCAGAGAUUAGCAUGGCCCCUGCGCAAGGAUGACAGAAAAAUUUGUGAAGUGUUCCAUAUUUUA
Molecule: small nuclear RNA, 103 nt
Filed under: Sciurus vulgaris (Eurasian red squirrel)
Lineage: Eukaryota; Metazoa; Chordata; Mammalia; Rodentia; Sciuridae
Source: RNAcentral